RNAcentral lists this long non-coding RNA (201 nucleotides) under Homo sapiens (human). RNAcentral describes it as "HSALNT0171003". Lineage: Eukaryota; Metazoa; Chordata; Mammalia; Primates; Hominidae. The record is from RNAcentral.
GGGUGUCCGGGAGCCAGGUGUGUGGCCAGCGUGGCACUCUCCACGGUCCGGGGCCUGGGCCGUGGUGUGGACUAGCGAGGCCCCUCGUGGCCGGCUGGCGGUGGGCAGGCCUGGUGGGUAGUGCAGGCCGGGCUUUUACUCUUCUCUGUCCUCUUCUCUUCGGCGGCUGCCUCGGCCCCUCCCUGCAUUUCCUUCCUCCAA